This 3187-nucleotide long non-coding RNA is filed under the name Homo sapiens (human). RNAcentral describes it as "HEATR3 antisense RNA 1 (HEATR3-AS1)". The record is from RNAcentral. Lineage: Eukaryota; Metazoa; Chordata; Mammalia; Primates; Hominidae.
ACGCGCGCGGGGCAACCUCGUCUCGCCUCCCGGCCCGACGGAGCCCUCGCCUCACCUUUUCCAGCAGCUCCGCCGCCGGCCCGUCGUCCUCCUCGCCUCCGGUCCCAUUCGCCGCCGCAGCCGCCUCGGCCUGACAGUCGCCCGUAGGGGAGAACUGAGGUCGCUUGAAGCGCUUCGUCCGGCUCUUGCCCAUGGUGACGUGCGCUGGGCGGACAGACCACCGAGAGAGGAGGGCAACAGCAGGCGGUGGAGGCUGCCGCGCCGUUAACAAGAGUCUCACUCUGCUGUCCAGGCUGGAGUGCAAUGGUGCGAUCUCGGCUUAUUGUAACCUCUGCCUUGGAGUUCAAGCAGUCCUCCUGCCUUAGCCUCCUAAGUAGCUGAGAUUACAGCUCCAGCUACCAUGCGGUGACCACGGGCCCGGGUGCUUCUUGCUGUGAUGAAUGAGCCACAGGGACCAGGUCUGCAUGCUCUGCUGCGCAUUGCUUAACCCCGACAGCUCCUUCUCCAGCGCCGCCUCAGAGAAGACUGACAUCCCUUCCACCCCACAUUCACGCCGUCCCACACUGGGGUGACAGGAGGAGAGUUAAGUUGCCCUCUCGCAGCCUCGCCCGCUCAACUCACCCUUUCCACACCCUCACUACCACCCUGCUUGGUAGGAUUUAAUCCUAACACAUAUUACCCAAAAUCCCAUCUAACUCAUCCGAACUUUGGAAAGUGACACACCUUAAGUGGUUGUGAUUAAAACAGGCAUUAACUUCUUUUGCUCCAGUGUGCUAAGAAACAUUUGAAGGACAUUCUUUUGGUUUUAUUUGUUUGUUUGUUUGUUUGUUUUUGAGACAAGGUCUCACUCUGCCGCCCAGGCUGGAGAGCAGUGGCGCCAUCAUACUCACCAUAGUCACCAUAGCCUUGAACUCCUGUGCCCAAGUGAUCCUUCCAUCUCAGCCUCUUGAGUAGCUAGGACUACAGGCGCACACCACCAUGCCUGGCUAAUGUUUUUAAAAAUUUUUUGUAGAGAUGAGGUCUCUCUGUGCUGCCCAGGCUGGUCUCCAACUCCUGGUCUCAAGCGAUCCUCCUGCCUCGGCCUCUCAAAGUGCUGGGAUUACAGGCAUGAUCCACUGUUGAAGCUACAUACAUAGGCAGCUCAUGACCCAGCAAUUCCACUCCAUGGCAUUCCCAAGGGAAGUGAUAUAUCCACACAGACUUGUACAUGAUUAUUCAUAGAACCUUUAUGAAUUAUAGCCCCAAACUGAAAACAACCCAAAUGCCCAUCAAUCCGUAAAUGGAUAAACAAAGAAAGGAACAAAUUGCCAACAUGCGUGUUAACAUAGAUAAAAUCUCAAAAGCAUGUUGACAAAAAAAAAAAAUCAAAAGCCUGUUGAACAAAAGAAGCCAGAGACAGGAUUAUUGUACUGCAUUAUUAUACUAUGAUGUCAUUUGCAUGAAAAUCUAGAAAAGACAAAUCUACAGUGAUAGAAGCAGGACAGUAUUUUCCCGAGGCCAGGAAUUGGGGGUGGGACCUGGCAAAGGAAACGUUUAAGAGGAUAACAAUAUUCUGCAUCUUGCUCAUGGUGAUUGUUACACAGGUGCCACAUUUACUAAAAUUCACACUGUACAGCUUAAAUGGAUGCAUUUUAUUAUAUGUAAAGUUUUUUUUUUUUUUUUUUUUGAGACAGAGUCUCACUCUGUCACCCAGGCUGGAGUGCAGUGGCACGAUCUCCGCUCAUUGCAACCUCCACCUCCUGGGUUCAAGCGAUUCUUUUGCCUCAGUCUCCUGAGUAGGUGGGAUUACAGGCGUGUGCCACCAUGCCCGGCUAAUUUUUCUAUUUUUAGUAGAGACGGGGUUUCACCAUGUUGGUCAGGCUGGUCUCAAACUCCUGACCUCGUGAUCGUGAUCUGCCUGCCUCGGCCCCCCAAAGUGUUGGGAUUACAGGUGUGAGCCACUGCGUCCAGCCUAAAGUUGAUUUUUUUAAAGCCCACAGAACCUGUCUCUGUUUUGAUUAGUUCCCCAGAUUCGUUGUUUUUUUUUUUCGUUUUUGGUUUUUUUUCUUUUUUUGAGUUUCGCUCUUGUCACCCAGGCUGGAGUGCAAUGGUGUGAUCUCGGCUCACUGCAACCUCUGGCUCCUGGGUUCACGCAAUUCUCCUGCCUCAGCCUCUGGAGUAGCUGAGAUUACAGGCGUCCGCCACCACUCCAGGUUGAGUUUUGUAUUUUUAGUCAAGACAGGGUUUCACCAUGUUGGCCAGGCUGGUCUUGAAUUCCUGACCUCAGGUGAUUUGCCUGCCUCAGCCUCCCAAAGUGCUGAGAUUACAGGCAUGAGCCACGGCGCCCGGCAUCCAGAUUCGUUGUUAAUUUUAAUGGGUUGCACUCCCUGUUUGGAGAGUGAGCUUCCUGCUGAUGGUCAAUAUGUAUGUAUGUAUGUAUGUAUGUAUGUAUGUAUAUUUUUUUGACAGCAGGUCUCACUUUGUUGUCCACAGCUUGCUGCAGCUUCCUGGACUCAAGCAAUCCUCCGGCCUCAGCCUCCUGAGUAGCUGGGACUACAGACAUGCACCACCACACUCGGCUAAUUUUUUUGUAUUUUUUUGUAGAAAUGGGGUCUCACCAUGUUGCCCAGGCUGGUCUGGAACUCCUGGGCUCAAGUGAUGAUCCUGCCUUGGCCUCCCAAAAUGCUGGGAUUACAGGCGUGAGCCACCGCGCCCGGCCGGCCACUAUUUAUUGAUCCCUCGAUAUGUGCCAAAUGCUGCUCUAAGAGCUUUGCAUAUAUUAAGCUACUAAAUCUACCAACCAUGCCACACAAUGUCAACAGCUCCGUGUUAGAGAUGGGAGAACUGAGGCACAGAGAGGGCAAGCCUCUUGCCUAAGAGCACAGCACGUGAUUUUUGUAAGUGACAAACAGAAUUUAACCUACAUAGUCAGGCUCCAGAGUUUAGUUUGUAAUAAUUGCAAUACACUGUCUCCUACUGAAUUUGCUGAUAGAGCUACUAUCAGCUAGUAGCUACUAUCAGAUAGAGCUACUAAGAGCUAGUAAAUUAAGGAAAUCAAAGUUUUAAUUAAUAGAUAACACCAGGUAAAAGGAGGAACAUAGAAAAAUGACUAAAUAUGAGAGCAGGGGAAGGGUUCCCAAAUUGGGCAAUAUGCUUUCUAUACCUGUUUCCCCACUUGUGAAAUAAACUACUCCACCUAGCAAACUCA